This 237-nucleotide ribosomal RNA is filed under the name uncultured bacterium. RNAcentral describes it as "partial 16S ribosomal RNA". It matches the Rfam family "Bacterial small subunit ribosomal RNA", at positions 100 to 334 of the family's 1533-position model. The record is from RNAcentral.
CCGGCACGGGUGAGUAACACGUAUCCAACCUGCCGUCUACUCUUGGGCAGCCUUCUGAAAGGAAGAUUAAUACAAGAUGGCAUCAUGAGUCCGCAUGUUCACAUGAUUAAAGGUAUUCCGGUAGACGAUGGGGAUGCGUUCCAUUAGAUAGUAGGCGGGGUAACGGCCCACCUAGUCUUCGAUGGAUAGGGGUCCUGAGAGGAAGGUCCCCCACAUUGGAACUGAGACACGGUCCAA